GACGAACGCUGGCGGCGUGCCUAAUACAUGCAAGUUGAGCGCUGAAGGUUGGUACUUGUACCAACUGGAUGAGCAGCGAACGGGUGAGUAACGCGUGGGGAAUCUGCCUUUGAGCGGGGGACAACAUUUGGAAACGAAUGCUAAUACCGCAUAAAGACUUUAAACACAAGUUUUAAGUUUGAAAGAUGCAAUUGCAUCACUCAAAGAUGAUCCCGCGUUGUAUUAGCUAGUUGGUGAGGUAAAGGCUCACCAAGGCGAUGAUACAUAGCCGACCUGAGAGGGUGAUCGGCCACAUUGGGACUGAGACACGGCCCAAACUCCUACGGGAGGCAGCAGUAGGGAAUCUUCGGCAAUGGACGAAGGUCUGACCGAGCAACGCCGCGUGAGUGAAGAAGGUUUUCGGAUCGUAAAACUCUGUUGGUAGAGAAGAACGUUGGUGAGAGUGGAAAGCUCAUCAAGUGACGGUAACUACCCAGAAAGGGACGGCUAACUACGUG
RNAcentral lists this ribosomal RNA (497 nucleotides) under uncultured bacterium. RNAcentral's name for it is "partial 16S ribosomal RNA". It matches the Rfam family "Bacterial small subunit ribosomal RNA", at positions 28 to 507 of the family's 1533-position model. The record is from RNAcentral.